Molecule: transfer RNA, 67 nt
Filed under: Habroloma sp.
Lineage: Eukaryota; Metazoa; Arthropoda; Insecta; Coleoptera; Buprestidae
Description: tRNA-Pro
Source: RNAcentral
CAGAGGAUAGUUUAGUUAAAAUAUUAAUUUUGGAGAUUAAUGAUAAGGUGAUAAAUCUUUUCUCUGA